This 497-nucleotide ribosomal RNA is filed under the name uncultured bacterium. RNAcentral's name for it is "bacterial SSU rRNA". It matches the Rfam family "Bacterial small subunit ribosomal RNA", at positions 26 to 518 of the family's 1533-position model. The record is from RNAcentral.
AGGACGAACGCUGGCGGCGUGCUUAACACAUGCAAGUCGAACGAGGAUAUACCAGAGGAGAGCUUCGGCAGGAAUCGGGUAUAUUCGAGUGGCGGACGGGUGAGUAACGCGUGAGCAACCUGUCCCAGACAGGGGGAUAACACUUGGAAACAGGUGCUAAUACCGCAUAAGACCACGGUAUCACAUGGUAUUGGGGUAAAAAGGAGCAAUCCGGUUUGGGGUGGGCUCGCGUCCGAUUAGAUAGUUGGUGAGGUAACGGCCCACCAAGUCGACGAUCGGUAGCCGACCUGAGAGGGUGAUCGGCCACAUUGGAACUGAGAGACGGUCCAAACUCCUACGGGAGGCAGCAGUGGGGGAUAUUGCACAAUGGGGGAAACCCUGAUGCAGCCGACGCCGCGUGAGUGAUGAAGUAUUUCGGUAUGUAAAGCUCUAUCAGCAGGGAAGAAAAUGACGGUACCUGACUAAGAAGCCCCGGCUAACUACGUGCCAGCAGCGGC